CUUGAAAACGGAAAAUAAAAACAGCAGACCUAUGAAGGUCGAAGGGGAAGAAAAGCUGUAUCGAUUGUUGAGAUCUGGCGACUUGUUUAAAUUUCAUCAGCCUCACUUCUAUGAACUCUCAGAGCUGAUUACCAACUCCUACCACUGUUAACCCUCAUCCAGGAACAAGCUUAUGUCUUUAACAUUCUGAGUGGGCUUCAGCAUCCUUGCAUAUGUUCAAUUCUUAAAAACCUGUUGAAAUAAAAGAUCAGGAGACAUAGGAAGGAUGCCAGAAGAGAGCGUGGCCUCACGUGUACCAGCUCUCUGCUCUCCUUUGCCUUGGGACGUUCCAUCCCUGGAAGUUUCCCUGCCCACAUCUUUGUAGAGAGUCCAUUCUCCAAGCUUCAGUGUGUCAUCUGUGAGGACCGUGACCCACCUGGUACAUCGCCUCAGGGCAUUCAUUUCAGGCUCCUUCUAAAUGGCCAAGAGACAACACCAACAUUUUUGUAAUGGCCUGCAAGGCCUUCCGAGAUCUACCUCCUGCAACUCAGCUUCUCCUGUGCUCUCCUUCUGGACUCACUCUGCCUCAGCAACACUGGUCCCUGUUGCCCCACCAAUAUGCCAGCUGCACUGAUGAGGAAACUGAAACAGAAAAUCCAGAGUAAAUUCCACCAGGCCACACAGCAAGGUCUGAUAGAGCCAGGAGAGACUUUAUGAAAUCCAGACUCUCACACUAAUGCUCUAUCAGCUAGACCUCCAUGAACUGAAAAUGAAAGAACCAAAAUAGAUAUCAACAGAUAAUUAAAGGAACGUUUGGAAGUUUUUUACCUCAUGCAAACCUCAAACUCUGAACCACUACUGCCUAAAGGAAAUAAAUACUGUGUUAUGACUUUGAAAAAGUGAAGUGGCCAUGUUAGGAGGCCCAGAUGGUAAGGAGCUGAGGGAGGCCUCCAGGAAAUGGCCAGCAAGAAGCCGGCUCCCUCAGCCUUGUAGCUACAAGAAAAUGAAUUCUGCCAGCAAUCUGAGUGAACUUGGAAGCUGAUUCUUCCUCUGUCAAGCCUCCAGAUGAGAAUCUCAGUCACAGCCAACACCUUGACUGCAGUCCUUAGCAGAGGACUCUGCCAAGCUGUGCCAGGACUCCUGACCUGCAGAAAUUGUGAGUUAGUCAUGCUGCUGAAACCCCGAAUGCUCACCCAGAAGAGUUCCUUUGCAGUGAAAGCCUAAGUGAGAUUGCACCUUCAACUGGCAUCACUCCACCUUACAGGAUCCUGAAAGCUUUCAAAUCCACCUCAAGCCCAGGCAGUGUCAAAGAAGGAGAGGAAUUGAAGAAGCAAAAAUAAAUAUUAAAGUACA
RNAcentral lists this long non-coding RNA (1332 nucleotides) under Homo sapiens (human). Its description in RNAcentral is "HSALNT0306314". The record is from RNAcentral. Lineage: Eukaryota; Metazoa; Chordata; Mammalia; Primates; Hominidae.